Long non-coding RNA from Phasianus colchicus (ring-necked pheasant), 10371 nucleotides. RefSeq lists it as uncharacterized. Lineage: Eukaryota; Metazoa; Chordata; Aves; Galliformes; Phasianidae. The record is from RefSeq and is a predicted model, not a curated record.
UAGUGCCCCCCCCCUUUUUUUUUUUUAACAAAACCAGAGCCAAUCAAAGCCAUGUAACAAAUCCACUGAACUUCAGGUUGUUGCUGUGUUGCGUUGCAACAUUUUGAAACUUCCCAGAACAAGGCUUUUGUCUGCAGGACGGAGCCAUUUGCGCAAGGCAGAGAUAUGUCCUGCUGCUGGGAGCAAGCUCUGUGCACACAGAGCUGCAGAGGUCAGUGCUCCUUGGCAGGCAGGAGCAAUAUGCUACACGUGUGUGCACACCCAGAGCAAAAUGCAUGCGCUUAUUUAUUAAAUUGUACCACCAAACCCUUCAGCAAGAGAAAGCUGUGGUUGCAAACUUGUCAAAGCAAGGAAACAGAAAAAGUAGGCAGUGCAGCUCUUCAGGGAAGAGGGCAUGAAGGAUGAGGGCUCUACGGACUGGAAUUUUCCUGGCUCUGAUGAUUUUACGGUGGAGACAGGUGAAGCGAAACCUGAGUAGGGUAACUUUAGCCAGAGAGAGUGAUAGAAAUAAACAAUAUUAUUCCUGGAAAGAAGGGAUAGUAGCUGUCCCCCUGCCAAAGUGCACUCCAGCCCAGAGCCUAUUAGCAGCAGAUUCCUUCCUGCGCUCCACCUCCCAGUGCCAGGGCAACGGUCCCAGGUUUUGACGUCAAAGCUGCCUUUUGUUUGUUGCACAGACCUUCCCUUUGCAGGCCGAGCAGACUGCAGCGCGGAAGCAGCGAGGCAGAGGGCUCUGCUGUGCCCAGAGCUGCUCUCACCACAAGCCUCCAAGGAUAACUCUCUUCCCGCAGUACCAAUUCCAACCCUUCCAGUGGAAAGAAAAUAGAGUUCAAUAUGUCUAAACUGUUUUAAUCCUGAUUGCCCUUUCACUAACCUUUCUGUCAACUUGUACUGUUUUAUCUUUUGUGGUUUUAUCUUGCGUUAUUUAGAUAGCAAGAUCUGCCAACCAAGGACUCUUUCCAUACACAUGAGACAAGACUGUAAAUCUGCUUUGGAACCAACAGGUAUAUUUGGAGAAAAUCCUCAGAGAGACAGUGAGAAAAUCUCCCAGCACUCCAGGACAGGACUCAGAUGCACAUGAUUUCAGAAUACUGGGAAGAAUGAGGCCUCUUGUUAUUAGGAAAUGUCCAAACUGGUGGCUUCCCCAGGUGAGCAGAGGGCUCACAAUGCCUUGGGCACAUACAACCAUCCCUUGGCUUUCCCAGCCACGAGCUGCCCUGAGGCACAAUGGCGCUGCCAGGGCAGGCUUUUCCUGCUAAAGAGGCUCUUAAGGAUGCAGCUGGAACAGUUGCUGCAAGAUUAUGCCACCUCUAAUAUAAAUUCAAUACUCUAUUCUGUCUCAUAGCUUCUUUGUUUAAAGGCCGAAGAAUUCAGGUAAAUGAACAGAGGUCAAGAAGAAAUGGAAAAAUGUAGUCACAUAAUAUGCAAAAGAAAAACAGGGCUGGUAAUCAGCUGCCACGUGUUUCCGAGAGUAGAUGCCAGCCUUCUCACAUGCUCAGUGUUAAGAUAUGACCACUUUCACAAUGCUUCUCUUUGACAGCAGCAAACCUGACACUAGCAUAACUAAUCCCCAGUGGUGCCCUCCUAUUCCCCUGCUGCCCAGACUGCCAGGCCCACCUCCCUCUUUUCCAGCAGCCCAAGACCCCUCCACACACAGCUGGGCUGCAGGCUCUCCUUUUCUUCCCUUUUGAAAGCUUAAAGCUGGGGACUUUCCAUAUCUUCUCUGUUUGCAGGAUUCUCAAACUAAUGUUUAAACUCAUGAUUUUUGCAUGAGUUUGCUGCUGGCUUUUUGUGUCCAUAUCCGAGUGCACAACAGGGCUGUUAUCUGUCGGGUGAGGCACAGGGCCAUCGCUGCUGGGAUGCAGCAUUCCUGGGCUAUUAGUAGUAAUGAGAUGAGCAGCAUAUGCUUCUGCUGGUGGAAAAAAAAAUGAAAAAAAGACCUUUCCAUCAUCUUUGCUGCCUGAAGGACAGACUUGGGGUCCUUAAUUCCUAGUAAAGCAUUAAUUUGUGACGCAGAGAAUGCAAGCUACCUGCACCCCAGCAGAGCCUGCUCACCCUAUGCCACACAAAAAGCCACGCUUCGCAAAGAACCAGCCUGUCUCCAGCCCUGGGGACACCCCGUCCAAGCCCAGCCAACCCAAUGCUGCAUGGCAGAGCUGUGAAGGGAGGCUCACUGAGGCCCAUGGAGUCAUGCUCCCUCUGUCUUUCAGCCAGACUCUUAACACACAUGCACAGAACCGUGUGUCAUGUUUCAGCUCUUGGAAGCUCCUUGCAGUGCUUCCAGGAAGUCCCACUGAACACUAGGGAGAGGCCCGCUGCCUUCUGCUGUCCCUCUGGUGAGCAGGACGGGCGAUCUGUUGAGUGCAGGCCCAGGGGUGAUGCCUGGUGCUGUGCCAGGCCCUGCCAGCUGCUGGGCCAAGCUGGGCCCUGCAUGCAGUACAACAGCAGGCUGGGCUGCAGCUCUCUGGCAGUGUGCCCCAGAAACAAGCACUGCCUGGGGAGUCACUGGGGAGAUACAUAGAACUUCAUGUGGCCUCAUGCAGAGACACUUUCUCUAACAUAAAGGCUUGAAAGAAUUGAGCCUUGGGGAUGACUAGCAACGUGAAGUUCGGUCACGCAGCACUGUCUAAAAUCAGGCUACAAUGAAGAAAAACUACUUCCUGGUAUUGAAGAGACAGCUAUUCCAGUAACUCAGCAGGGCCCUCCUGCUCCAACCAGGUGAGCAGCACUGGGCUCACUAGAGUGUGCUGAACCCUGUGCCAGGUCUUGGGAAUCAAUAGGCUGAAGGGCUGUCAGGGUGGAGUGGCUGCAGGGGCUACUUUUGGCCCUUAGGCUGCUGAGUCUGGAGAAGGUAUCCUUUCCAGGCUCUCCCCUGUCACUACAAGGGCUGGGAAUCAUCUUUUCUGAAAAAGGAAAGAAAAUCAUAGAUUCUUAUCUCAUUGUGGGAGAGAAUGAUCAAGGCAGAGGCUCAAACAAAACACAGUACCCACAGGGAGGCAGAAACAGGUCUCAAGACCAUAACAGCCACUGAAAGAUCUGCCUUCACUGAAAGAUCUGCCUUCAGAUCUUCUGGCCGCAGGGCAGGAACUUUACUGUGCCUUCUUACGCUCUGCCAGCUCCCAUCCCUGCCAGUUCCCAUCCUGUGCUUGGACAGCACAGGAGCAGCCCAUGCGUUAGCCAGGGGCCCCACUCGUAUCACUUCAUUUGUAGGCAUGGGCAGGGGAGUAUUUCUCACACCACACCAAAUGGCCACAUAGCCAAACAAAACUCUCAUCCUCCUCAGCACUAAGCAGCUCCUCUGCGUCCAGCUGCUGUGACACAUCACAUUCAUCCCGAAACAGGACAAGUGGCACGGAGCUCAUGCAGCUCAGGGCCACAGGUGCCUUGACUGUUCCAUCUCUGUCACACUUUUUUGCUUGAGAUGUUGGUGUAGAGAAGUAAGGAAACAGAAGUCCUGGGAGGAAGUGAGUCAGGAAACCUGCAGCCAUUGCAGGGGAAGUGUGACUCAGAGCACACGGUGCUCGCUGCUCCCCAACACCCUGGAGGAGGUGAUAAGAUUGUGCAAUCCCCAAGAUAGCUUGCUGCACAUCCUAAUUCUGCUGAUCCUCCCAGGGGAGGGGUGCCUCUGCUGAGUACUGUACAUUAGCUGAUUUCUUAGAAUGAAGUGUGACAGCUCCCUGUGAGCUCAGCGCGUGGGAGGGGGGAUGCUGGGCUGCCUGCCCGAGCUGACAGAGCGAGGAGCUACAGAAGCACCGAGCUUAUCGAGAGCGCAGCAAGGACCUGGCAGAAACCUCUUGUUUAGUCUAUUUGUUCUUCUUCUGGAGAGAGUGGGGACCUCAGUGUUUGAAAACCACAGAGGAACCAGCUAAAAAGCAGAGAGGAGAAAAUCUGAGAAGGAAAGGAGGGCAAAGGUGGUGGUAAUAAGAGGAGAAGAGGCGGUGUGUGGUCAGGUGGGCUGGCCAGGGGCAGAUGGAGGUAAACAACAGCAGGACAAAGAAGUCAGGUCAAGCAAGGGAAGCCUGAAAGAAGAGCAAAGCAGGGAGAGGGAGAAUGGAGAAAGAUCACAGGGAGAGUCACUUAGGACUGAUGAGGACGGCACAGAAAAAUCAAACAAUGCAGGGCCUGAGAGAGCAGAGAAACAUAAGCAGCACUGUGCUGAGGGAAAGACGCUGCCCUCCGUUCUGAGUUCUCAGCAGACACCAGAGCUGCAGUGUAUACUGGGGCCUCCGUUCAUUAGUAUAAGGGCCACCACUGAAAAGCACCCGGAGCCCUAUGGCAGGCAGAUGGAACAUGACAACAUGGCCCUUUGUGAGGACCAGCUCCCUGUCAGGAACACAGGCCUAAGUAGAGGCAGCACACACAGUGCCUCCCACCAGUACCUGGGCAGAGCCCAGCGCUGCCUGUGUUCAUACAGCACUUGGGGCAAAAGCACCUCAGGAUACAUCUGGAAAUUUCUACUGCACAAAACGCACAUGCCAGCUGGGCUUCCACGCUCCCUCCUGCUGCUCCCUGGAGACACAACCAUGCCUACUACAUUGCUCCUGCACACGUGCUGCAGCUGCUUAUGAUGAGUUGAAAAAGAGGCACUCACUGUUCCCAGAUGGACAGGGCUGGCAUGCACGUACACAGGAAGUAUGCAUGGGCCUUCAAAAAAUCCCACUGCACAGUCAGGAAGAAUCCUGGCCCAACUGCUCAGUGUCAAAAGCCACGAAGCCACCAGCAACAAGGCAUGAAUUAGGGAAACGCAGGCCUCUUUCUACAGAAAAUGCACUCUUAAGAAGGGACUGCUUUGUUCUUCCCAGAAAAACUUCACGCUUGAACUCGAGGUGUUUGUCCAUUUGAAGAAUAACUAAACUGUAUUUCAAGCACUGUUUCAGAGUCCUGUGUGUGCACAAUACAGAUACCACAGCACCUUUCAGCUCCAAAUCUGCCACGCUGUUGGUUUGGGUUCCAAACCCCAAGUGACCACAUCCAUUUCUGACUUUUACCCCCAGCUGUGGUGCAGCAAAGGUGCCGGCUGAGACUCAGAAGCUCCAAAGUCUGUUUGCAUUUCUGCCCUGAUUGGCUGGCUAUAUUGGGGCAAACCACUGCACACCCCCAGGCUCCUGGUCUCUCUUUCCCCUGUGCCUGCCUCCAUGGUAUUGAAUGCAAGGCUUCUAGGUGUGGGCUGCUGGACAGCAUAUGCCUGCAAUGUUAAAUGCACUCCAGACCGCAAAAAGCUAAAUGGUUCUGUAAUGGAAAUAAUAAUGAGUACUUGAAGUUUUGUGGCUGGUAUUUCUAGGACAAAUGUCACAGCUCAUGUGACCUAAUGUCCUAGGGCCCCAAGCCUAGGAAGAAAAACUGCAUGCUGAGGGGCAGGCAGCCUGAUCCUGAUGCUUCUACUAAUAGCAGUAACAUUUUUAUCCCAAGUCAAGGAAAGUUCUUAUUCCUCACCCAUAAAAACUCAAGGCUGUUGGAAAACCAGUUAGCAGGAAGGCUUUGACAGAUUUUGAGAUGGCUGUCAUAGGGUUAAUGAGAUCAUAUACUGCACCUCCUUAUUUUGCUGCCAUCAGUCUGUUCCUUAGAAAUAGAACAAUGAUAUUAUAUUCCUGUAUGUGUUUAUCUGUAAGGCUAGGGUACAAGGGCAGAAGCCUGGUAUCACGCUUUGUAAGCAUGAGUUAGUCACUCUGCCCGCUGCAAGCACUCUCCCAUCUUAUGGGCAUGGUACAAGGCCAAGGCUGUGUCCAGCAGAGCUUUUGUUUAAACCAUGUUCUGUGAGCCUGACUCAGCUGCUGACACCUCCUCACCACACAGGAUGCCUGCACGCUUUUGCAGUGGCUCUGGUUUUCCCUUUGAACCUGUGCUAAUAGCAAAACAUUAGGUGGAAGAGUAUUUUUCUAGUUACUGUUUUUCAAGAUGCUGCUUGGCCUCGAUCAAUUCCAAGAACUGAGGCAGUCAAACAAAAACUUUUACAGGCUCGUCAGCAGCACGAACAUCACUGCUCUGGCAACUUCCCACGCUGCAGCAAGAAUUUGCACGAACCAAAAUGAGACCACACGCAAGAGAAGGGCUGAGCAGAGAACUGCGAGUGGCAGCACCUUCAGCACUGCUGAACACAGCAGAGGUGGCAGGCAGCCUCUGGCACCACACGCUGUGCUUCUGCAGGAAACAUGCUCGAGUCAGAGAACCUCCUUGCUGUUGUUCAUCCAGGCAAGCAAGCAAGUUGUAGUGCUCACAUGGAAGAGAAGGGAAGACAGGGAGGGCCAUUGGCUCAGCUUCCUCCCAAGAGGGUACACUCCUGGACAGGCCUUGCACACUGCUGCCUCUUUGCUGCAGUCUGGAGUUGAGCAGCUGUGAACUCCUUCGGGGGCAGGAUGGGGGCAAAGCAUGGGCUUCAGCCAGAUCCCAGUGCUCCAGCCCUUCUUCCUUCACCUCCUGUGCCCAGAGAAUCAGUAAUUUCCACAAACUAUGGUUAGGCACAAAAACCAUCUUAUCAAGACAGCUCAUUGUGUAUAGCACCCAGCAGCAGCUACAAACAGAGAAUUUGACAUGCUCGGUUACCCAAGCCCCACUCAUUCUCUCCUCCUUUGUGUGUACCUUGACAGAUGCCUCUUCUGUCAUUCACAAUAGGUUUCAUUUCUAUCCUGGAUGAAUGUACUGAGGAGCUGAAAUUUGGAAGCAGACCUCCUCCAAAAUGGACUGCAAGUGUCCUCCAGCCUGACCAAAAGCAGCUUGAUGACCCAUGUCAAGUGGAAAUUCAAGUCAAUUUGAGGCAUAGAGGGAAAGGAAGGGAUUUCCUUCCUCUCUUGAAUAGGGAAAGUCACAUCACAGCAGAAAGACCUCUAGACUACUCUUUGGCUAACUGCAUCCAUGGAAAUAGCAACAGAAAUAUCUAUACCUGUUACAUUCUGGUCACUUUAAGCUGCUUUCUGGGUUCCAUCAGGACAACCACAGCCAUCAGACUCAUUAAAUUUGGCACUGGAGCUAUGGCUGAGACAGUCACAGCUGUGAAGUAACAGCUUUGAGUCAGCCUGAAGAAAGAAGCAAAUGAGCCAGUGUGUUUUCAGUGACCAAGUAAUAGUUGGUGUUCCCAGAGAGCAACUGCCUGGGAACCCCACAGUGUCACUGCAUCCCACAUUACAUGAGGCACCAGAGAACAGUGCUCAGUUGCAAUCACAAGCAAGAAGCCAAUAUAGCCAAUUACAAUUACAAUUAUUAACUGCAAGCUCCUCCUCCUAUCCAUAGAACAAACACAGACCCCAUGUAAAUGAUUUCAUUGAGUGGAAGGGAUUUUGCCCUAUGGCUCACAGAGUCUUCAUGUGGCACUGGAAGCACACAGUGACAAACAUUUUGUGCACCAGCACAAUGUUGCAAUUAUCCUGUCAUGGUAUACUUUAAUCAGCAUGAUUUUGGGGGAGCCUGUGGCUGGGAAGUUCCUGGAAUAUCAAAAGGCACCUCCCUCAGCCUGGGCAGGAGGCGGCCACCGGUGCAGUCAGUUGGCUGAAAAGCUGCUGCUGCUUCAGCUCUUCAAGGCAGGAAUAAAGAACAGAAGGUGGUCCCAGCAUAAAUCUAUUGAACCUGGGAUACAUGAAGGGUACGAUGUCACAUCACCUGCCAGAUGGGCUUCCAAACACCUGGCUGCAAUGAAUGGAGGCAGCCUUUGUUCUCUUUCAAAAGAUCACAGCUAAAGCUGGAUUCUGGAGCAGUGAGGGUUAACUCAGGCAAGCAAACAAGGGUUGAAGAUCAGCUCAUCUUUUCCAUUCAGACAGAUCCUGCUACAGAAAAUGCUGGUUUCUCGAUGCUCGGUGUCUCAGCGACUUCCAGGAACAGUGAGCUAAACACAGCUACUCUUCCCAGCACCAGCUGAGGGGGCGGCAGGGGAUGGAACACAGCCCUGUUCUUGGAAGGCAGGAAAAAAUAAGGUUCUGGCAGAGCUGUGCAAGCUUGCCUCUCCCUCCUCCCCUCCCCAGUAGCCUCUUUCAGCAUCUCUAAUUCCUCAGGGUACAGCUGCGUUGGUUUUUCCUUUUAUCAAAUAAGUGUAACAGCAAUGCAUGAAAACUGCAGGCAAUUUUCAAGCAGAGAGAGGUUAAGUAAAUCAAAUAAAUAAAUGAUAAGCUCAUCUUCACGAGCUCGGAUGUGCCCCAUGAUUUUCUCAGUUUAGUGCAUGACCUACUGUACUUCCUAACAUUUUUGUUAGAUAAACACAGAAAGCUACAGAACCAUUCAGUCCACGGAAACUAUUUUUGGCUACUUUAUCUUCAUGCAAUAUGAAUUCCAAGGGCUGAUUGGAUACUUGGACCUCUCCCAGCCUGGCCGACUGUGAAGGGAGCAGACAGUCAUCUCACUGCUAUUCUUCCAUGGAAACAAACAUCUUUUGGAGAUGACAAGUAUCUGGCUUGUAGGUGCAGUGCUCUGAAUGAGAUUCAGGGAACUAGAGCAGCCACCAGCUGCGAGGAAUGCAAGGAUAGCCUCAAGGUACACACACAAAAAUAGGAAAACAGGAUUCAGUCAGAGCUGGCUUCGUGGUUCCCCACAAGCUGCUCUCCAAAUAAAGACAGCAGCACUGAGUGGUGAACAGAGUUCGGAGAAAGCCUGCUUCAAAUCUUGCAGUCAGCAGCUCAGCUGGAUGAAAUUUCACCAUCUUUUAUCCAGAUGAAAAACCAGUGCAAGCCCACACGUGCUGUGGUGGUGGGCCCCAAGCUGGGUGCAGCUUGGCCAGCAGGCAGGGGAUGGAAGGGCACAUGGCAGCUCAGCCCUACUAGUGGUCUCCCCAGGCCAGGGCCAUGGCUUGCUGCCACCAAGGCACUGCAGGAGAAGCUGUUCCCUGAGAUAUGCAGAGCUGUGCCACAGAUAAGACUUGUCUCCAGCACAAUCAGUCUCUCACCUAUUACAAGUGUUACAUGCACUUAAAAUGCUGUGGCUUGCUAUUUUCUUUUUGGUGCUUUUUUUUUUUUUCUUCCACCUGCUGAACAAAAAGAAAAUGUAGUCCUGCAUGAUUACACAGCAGUCUGAAGUCCCCUGCAAUGCCAAGGCUGCAGGCACAUGCUUAGAAGACAAGCAGACUUCCUCAUUAUCUUCUGUGGAUUUCAGAAUUACAGAAAAAAAGCAAACACAACAGAAACAAACACAAGGAAUAGCACAGAAUGCAACACAGAGUCUGCAGCAAACCGUAAGCCCAGCUUUCAGGCUUCAAACCUCUUCCAUGUGCUGAUCUCUAGGUUCUCAGAUACCAGCUAUGAGACCAAAGCACUCUGCUGUCUCUCUGGGAUUUCUAAACCUACCAGCACAACAUGCCAUUCAUCUUUGGGGCCUUCAACUAGAAGCAAGAAGCCCAGAGUUGGGCACUGGGCUCAUUUUUAGCAGUACAAAACUGCUACUCGGCCAUAAAUCAACGUAGAUGUGCUGAUUUACAAUAUGUGAGAAAUUGGCUCAUUAGCUCUAAUUAAACAAAGGCCCAAGCCACAUGAUUUAAAUGUGAACAAGGCUCUUGAACACCCUGUUCAGCCCAGGAACCGGGAUUUGCUUGGUGCCUUCCUAUAUUUAGCAUACAGUAAUGUAACUGAAGCAACCAAAUUAGACUCGCAAAUAGACCGGUUUCUCAGUACUUAAUCAAGGACCUUUUCCCAGAACUGCAGAGGGCUGAAAUUAAAAGAAAGGAAUGCGUGGUAAUCAGCCCAGAAGGACAGAAGGAAACCACCAUGAGUCUGAAGUCCAAACAUGCACUCUGGCCAACUGAAUGUAUCGUUGUUUGAAUUCAAUGUGGCUGCAGAGCACGUCAGCCCAGGGAUCACACACAGCACGCCAUAGGGCACUGCCCAGGUAUAAGGAAUUACUGAGGAACUGCAGCUCUGGAGAUCUGUACAGAAGGAAGUGACAGAAAGACAGAUCCAGCAUACAGACUGCAAAAUGCAUACGAUGGGCAAUGAUCAGCGUGGCACCACCAAACAGCAAAGCAAGAAGAAGAGGCAGGAGCCCACAGCACCGCUCUCCUUCAAAUUCACUACUGCCCCUUUGGAUACCGACAGGCCGCUCUCAGCUCUCCCCGCAGCCUUCUCUUCUCCACCUGCACAGCCCCAGCUCUCAGCCUGUCCUCGUAGGGAGGUGCUCCAUUCCUUGGGUCAUUUUCAUGGCCCUCCUCUGGACACACUCCAACAGGCUGACAUCUGUCCUGCACUGAGGACUCUCCAUCUGGCUGCAGCACCCCAGGUGAGGCCUCAGCGCACAGAGCAGAGAGGCAGGAUCAGCUCCCUGCCCUGCUGGCCAUGCUGCUUUGGAUGCAACCCAGGGUAAGGUUGGCUUUCUGGGCCAUGAAGGGACAUUGCUGGCUCAAUGUCCAGCUGCCAUCCAACAGCACCUCCUAAGUCCUUCUCAGCUGGGCUGUGCUCCAUUCUUUCA